UUUUAUUUGAGUUUCAGUUUAUUUACAUCAUUUAAAAAGAAAGGCCUGCUUUUUAAACAAAUCUAUACAUAAUGAUUUUUUGAUUUUUUUAUAUAAUAGAUGAAGUACAGUUCUUGAAUUCAGUGGAAAUUUUAUUUUAUUUUUUUUUAAUAUGUUAGUUACCUUUUGCUGAACUGGCAUAUGCUUUUUGGGUGUUGUUAUUUUUUUUUAAUGUUUGACAGCUUAUAUAUACUUUCAUAUCAUAUUUUCAAUGUAAUUUGGCUUGGUCUUAAGGGCUUAAAUGAACUAAUAUUAACAACAGAUCAAUGAUUCAUAGAAUUUUUUAUGUCUUUUUUUUUUUGCAACAUGUACAGUAGAAAGAAGUGAUGUGUGUGUAUAACAUAUGAUAGUUUUGUAUAAUUGUUUAAUAUUCAUGGUCUAUGAGAAAUGUAAAAAAAAAGAAAAAAGAAAAAAGAAAAAAUAUAUUUACACACAAAAAAAGUCUUUGAAAGUCAAGUCACAGAGUCAAAUUACUUUACAGGUACAUAUGAAACUGAAGGUGGGAUACUAAUUUAUAAGGGUGAAACCAAAAGUCUAAGUGUAAACUAUCAAAGCUAUUCCUUCAGGUUAAACUUGUAAAAAAAAAAUACCUUCGUCUACUGUACCAAUUAAUAUGUUGCAGAGAGCCUCUGACAAAUAAGAAUAUACCUAUACAUAUAAAAAACAGUUAAAGGAUUAACUGUAAUAGAACAAAAUAAUAAUAAUCAUGCCUCCUCAUUGAUAUGACUGUCCAAAUUGAUAUAAACAUAUCAGUCAAGACCUACCAAAAACUGAGCAAAUACAAAGGUCUUAAAUAGAAAUUAGCAAAAUGUGGAACCUGAAGACUUAAACAAUACCUGUUGUCAUACGUGCCCUGGGAAUGAUAGCAAAUGGGGCUGAUUACUACCUAGCUCAGAUACCAGGAAACACUAAAAUGGCAGAAAUUCAAAAGAUAGUACUCAUGGGAACUGCUCAUAUCCUACGCAAAAUACUUUCUAUGUAAUCUCAAGUUUUAAAACAAACAUAAUUUUCUUAUGGUUUCUUAAACAUUCUCUAGAAUAACACUAUGUACAAAACCAAAUAUAUGGCACCCUAGGCAUAACACCAACAUGAACUUCCAGCUUGUUGUCUCUUGAGGUCUCUAGGUGAGACUUGGAGCCAACUUGUACAAAUGUAAAGCAAAAGUCAAACAAAAUAAUAAUAAUAAAUAAUAAAGAUGUCUUGAAUGAAACAGAUGGGAAACAAUUCCUUCAAAACUAUGAAAUUGUCAAAGUUUGGGAUUAACAAGAAGAUCUUGAAUGAAGCCUGUUGACCUUAGUAACAGUAACUAUACUAAUAAUAUAAAAAAGUUAUUUUAAUAACACAACAUCAGAAUUGUCUCAUAACAUAAAAUUAAAAUAUGAGAUGGAGUGGCUGUAUAGUUAGGAGGUUCACUUUGCGAUCCUGUGGUUCCUGGUUCACUCCUACUGUACAGACAACUUGGCAAAUGUUUUCCAUCAGAGCUGGAGGUUGACUAAUACCUUUGGUUGACAGAAACUUCAUGGAAGUUUGGCGAAAAUAAGUGUGUAUUUGUUUCUGUGUAUUUUGGUGCAAAUUCCCCGUGAUGUUGUUUAUUUCCUACUGGGAGGUACCUCCCUCACAAGGAACAUAACCAAAGAUAAACAUAGCCAUUUGAUAAAUAGAGAAGAAUAAAAUAAAUAUCAAAGUACUAGGGUUGAUAUAAUAUAUUAAUACUCGUGGAGACAGUACUGCAAGCAUGGAUGAAGUUCAAUUAUUGAUGCCAGCAAAUGAUAAAAGAAUUAAGAACAGUAUAAGUAUUGCACUACAAUAAAAGAUCAUAUAUACAAAUGUAAAACAUUCUUAAAAUAUGAAGUAUAAAGUAUACUUAACAUAUAAACAGCCAAAGAAAAGUGAAAUGGCAAACAUAUGAGUUGUUAAUAACAGAAAUAAUAAAAUUAUGAAACAUAAAAUGAUUUUUCUUCUUCUUUUUUUUUAACUUAGUCAACUGGAAAGUAUUGAAAAUGGAAUCCUAAAAGGAGAUAAUACAAGAGUAUUUUAAGAAAAGAGCAGAAUACAAGACAACGGAGUAGAAAAGAGAUAGCAAGGGAGCAUCUACAUGGCUGUUCAACCUACUAAAAAUAGCAGCCAAAUUUUUCUCACAUCACAGCCUACAUUCUUAAAAAAAAGGAAGUAUAUAUCGGUUAAUGCAGAUCCAGAUAUACAAGGAGGGAUGAGGAUGAUCAUGGUUCGAUCAUAAAUUUGCUUGAUGAAGGCCAAAAUGGUUAAAUUCAUGAAUUUGGAUAAGUUUAGUAUGUCAGAAUAAGUCUAGUACAUUCCAGAACUGACACUUUAUCAGAGAUAAGAUUUAAGAAGAAAACAAAAUUAUUAACUGUAAACUAUCAGAUUCUUCUCCUCCUGAUAGUAUACAAACUUAUGAAUUUUAAUGUAUAAUUUUUGGCAGACACACACACACAUGUAUGUAUGCACACACACACUCAUGCACAUAUACACUCACCCACAUUAUUACUAUUUUAAUGCUUGCGUUUCAAUGUUUACUUAUAUCAAGCAGAAUUAACUGAGACAGAUUUAUGUCAGCAACUAUCACCAUUUCCCAACUAGUUAAUAUUUCCUGUGGAUGGACAUAUAUUCACAGAAGAUUGGAAACCAAUGAUGCUGCCUGCAAGAAGGUGAUGCUUGUUUACCGUAAAUCCUCGAGUAUAAUCCGCAUUUUUUUCCCAAUUGAUGUCAAGCGAUGUUGGGGUGACAAACACAGACACACAAACAUAUACACACAUACAUACAUAUAUAUAUAUAUAUAUAUAUAUAUAUACGAUGGACUUCUUUUCAGUUUCCGUCUACCAAAUCCACUCACAAGGCUUUGGUCAGCCCAUGGCUAUAGUAGAAGACACUUGCCCAAGGUGCCACGCAGUGAGACUGAACCCGGAACCAUGUGGUUCAUAAGCAAGCUACUUACCACACAGCCACUCCUACGCCUAUCACAUGUUUAUAUCAAUUUGCAUUUCCAUAACGUCACAUGUUUGCACCAAUUUAAUAGGUGAACCAGGAAAUGUUGAAUGAAUUGUCCUACCUAGAAAUAGUCAGUUAUGCUUGAUUGUUUAGUUUAACACACUAUCUGUUAAGGUUAUUUUUUUUUUUUAUUUGACAGUUAAAGACAGGACAAUAUUUAAAAUAACAAAAUAAAAUUGCUCAUUUUACACACACACACUGGUUUUGUGCUAAAAAGUGGGUUCAGUGCUGCGCAACUCUUUAUCUACACAAAUUCACAGAGGAACUUCCUGGGCUUUUGAAAUGUUUGCACGGACUUACAGAAUUUAGGAAGUGGUCUUACAUGUUCACAAGUUUACUUUCAACACACACACAUGCUCACUCUAAUACACGUGUGUGUGUGUGGUUCUCUAUCAAUUUCAACAAAGAUUCAGUUGUUUGAUUAAUUGAAUCAUUUGCUUAUCGACUUAACUCGUGUGUGGCCAGGCCAUUCCACAGACAAGUGCAAUAUUAAAGUAAUUCUCAGGUGGAAUCACCUACAAGAUACUGCAUUUGACAAGGCUUUACCUUUGAAUUACAGGUACAAUCUACAUGAUAUACUUCUACAUAGUUUCUUAUUUCUUUAUUGCCCACAAGGGGCUAAACAUAGAGGGGAUAACACAAGGACAGACAAAGGGAUUUAGUCGAUUACAUCGACCUCAGUGCGCAACUGGUACUUAAUUUAUCGACCCCGAAAGGAUAAAAGGCAAAGUCGACCUCAGCGGAAUUUGAACUCAGAACGUUUAGACAGACGAAAUACCUCUAAGUAUUUCACCCGGCAAAGUAGCGUUUCUGCCAGUUUUCAUCCACCCAAUUUCAUUCACAGGUAUGAGUCAAUUCAAGGCUAUAGAAAAUAACAUUUACCCAAGAUGGUAUGCACUGUGAUCAAACAGGAUGCUUCUUGGUUACAAAGUAAACAUGCUGACCACUUAGUUAUACUGUACCUAUAUGUAUAUAUAUAAUUUUAUGGAAGCAGAUAUUCCAUUAAUGAAACUCCAAGGGUUGCUUUUUGGUUCAUUAGGCAGUUCUCACUCAACAUGGAAUGUAGAUUUAUAUAUACUCUUUACUCUUUUACUUGUUUCAGUCAUUUGACUGUGGCCAUGCUGGAGCACUGCAUUUAGUUGAGAAAAUCGACCCCAGGACUUAUUCUUUGUAAGCCUAGUACUUAUUCUAUCGGUCUCUUUUGCCAAACCGCUAAGUUAUGGGGACAUAAACACACCAGCAUCGGUUUUCAAGCGAUGUUGGGGGGACAAACAUAUACAAACACAUACGUACGUACGUACAUACAUACAUACAUACAUACAUAUACAUACAUACAUACAUACAUACACACACACACACACACAUAUAUACAACAGGCUUCUUUCAGUUUCCGUCUACCAAAUCCACUCACAAGACUUUGGUUGGCCUGAGGCUAUAGUAGAAGACACUUGCCCAAGGUGCCAUACAGUGGGACUGAACCUGGUACCAUGUGGUUGGUAAGCAAGCUACUUACCACACAGCCACAUAUAAUUUAGGUUCUUUUAGUAAGUUACAAAAUAUUUCAAAGUAUACACAUAAUUUGAU
RNAcentral lists this long non-coding RNA (4629 nucleotides) under Octopus vulgaris (common octopus). Lineage: Eukaryota; Metazoa; Mollusca; Cephalopoda; Octopoda; Octopodidae. The record is from RNAcentral.